Molecule: ribosomal RNA, 253 nt
Filed under: uncultured bacterium
Lineage: Bacteria
Description: partial 16S ribosomal RNA
Rfam family: Bacterial small subunit ribosomal RNA
Source: RNAcentral
UACGUAGGGUGCAAGCGUUGUCCGGAAUUAUUGGGCGUAAAGAGCUCGUAGGCGGUCUGUCGCGUCGGAUGUGAAACCUCGGGGCUCAACCCCGAGCCUGCAUUCGAUACGGGCAGACUAGAGUUCGGUAGGGGAGACUGGAAUUCCUGGUGUAGCGGUGGAAUGCGCAGAUAUCAGGAGGAACGCCGGUGGCGAAGGCGGGAUCCUGGGCCAGUACUGACGCUGAGGAGCGAAAGCGUGGGUAGCGAACAGG